This 550-nucleotide ribosomal RNA is filed under the name uncultured Rhizophagus. RNAcentral's name for it is "SSU rRNA". It matches the Rfam family "Eukaryotic small subunit ribosomal RNA", at positions 548 to 1098 of the family's 1831-position model. Lineage: Eukaryota; Fungi; Glomeromycota; Glomeromycetes; Glomerales; Glomeraceae. The record is from RNAcentral.
UUGGAGGGCAAGUCUGGUGCCAGCAGCCGCGGUAAUUCCAGCUCCAAUAGCGUAUAUUAAAGUUGUUGCAGUUAAAAAGCUCGUAGUUGAAUUUCGGGGUUAGUAGGUUGGUCAUGCCUCUGGUAUGUACUGGUCUCACUGAUUCCUCCUUCCUGAUGAGCCGUAAUGCCAUUAAUUUGGUGUUGCGGGGAAUUUGGACUGUUACUUUGAAAAAAUUAGAGUGUUUAAAGCAGGCUAUUGCCUGAAUACAUUAGCAUGGAAUAAUGAAAUAGGACGGCAUGGUUCUAUUUUGUUGGUUUCUAGGAUCACCGUAAUGAUUAAUAGGGAUAGUUGGGGGCAUUAGUAUUCAAUUGUCAGAGGUGAAAUUCUUGGAUUUAUUGAAGACUAACUUCUGCGAAAGCAUUUGCCAAGGAUGUUUUCAUUAAUCAAGAACGAAAGUUAGGGGAUCGAAGACGAUCAGAUACCGUCGUAGUCUUAACCAUAAACUAUGCCGACUAGGGAUCGGACGAUGUUAAUUUUUUAAUGACUCGUUCGGCGCCUUACGGGAAAC